GAGGAAUUUUGCGCAAUGGGGGAAACCCUGACGCAGCAACGCCGCGUGAGUGAUGAAGGCUUUCGGGUCGUAAAGCUCUGUCAAGUGGGAAGAAACCAUAUGGUGUUAAUAUCGCCAUAUGCUGACGGUACCA
RNAcentral lists this ribosomal RNA (133 nucleotides) under uncultured bacterium. RNAcentral's name for it is "partial 16S ribosomal RNA". It matches the Rfam family "Bacterial small subunit ribosomal RNA", at positions 356 to 480 of the family's 1533-position model. The record is from RNAcentral.